Molecule: ribosomal RNA, 253 nt
Filed under: uncultured bacterium
Lineage: Bacteria
Description: partial 16S ribosomal RNA
Rfam family: Bacterial small subunit ribosomal RNA
Source: RNAcentral
UACGAAGGGGGCUAGCGUUGCUCGGAAUUACUGGGCGUAAAGCGCACGUAGGCGGAUUGUUAAGUCGGGGGUGAAAUCCUGGAGCUCAACUCCAGAACUGCCUUCGAAACUGGCGAUCUUGAGUCCGGGAGAGGUGAGUGGAACUGCGAGUGUAGAGGUGAAAUUCGUAGAUAUUCGCAAGAACACCAGUGGCGAAGGCGACUUACUGGACACAUAUUGACGCUGAGGUGCGAAAGCGUGGGGAGCAAACAGG